This 922-nucleotide ribosomal RNA is filed under the name Lacticaseibacillus casei. Its description in RNAcentral is "bacterial SSU rRNA". It matches the Rfam family "Bacterial small subunit ribosomal RNA", at positions 518 to 1440 of the family's 1533-position model. The record is from RNAcentral. Lineage: Bacteria; Bacillati; Bacillota; Bacilli; Lactobacillales; Lactobacillaceae.
CGGUAAUACGUAGGUGGCAAGCGUUAUCCGGAUUUAUUGGGCGUAAAGCGAGCGCAGGCGGUUUUUUAAGUCUGAUGUGAAAGCCCUCGGCUUAACCGAGGAAGCGCAUCGGAAACUGGGAAACUUGAGUGCAGAAGAGGACAGUGGAACUCCAUGUGUAGCGGUGAAAUGCGUAGAUAUAUGGAAGAACACCAGUGGCGAAGGCGGCUGUCUGGUCUGUAACUGACGCUGAGGCUCGAAAGCAUGGGUAGCGAACAGGAUUAGAUACCCUGGUAGUCCAUGCCGUAAACGAUGAAUGCUAGGUGUUGGAGGGUUUCCGCCCUUCAGUGCCGCAGCUAACGCAUUAAGCAUUCCGCCUGGGGAGUACGACCGCAAGGUUGAAACUCAAAGGAAUUGACGGGGGCCCGCACAAGCGGUGGAGCAUGUGGUUUAAUUCGAAGCAACGCGAAGAACCUUACCAGGUCUUGACAUCUUUUGAUCACCUGAGAGAUCAGGUUUCCCCUUCGGGGGCAAAAUGACAGGUGGUGCAUGGUUGUCGUCAGCUCGUGUCGUGAGAUGUUGGGUUAAGUCCCGCAACGAGCGCAACCCUUAUGACUAGUUGCCAGCAUUUAGUUGGGCACUCUAGUAAGACUGCCGGUGACAAACCGGAGGAAGGUGGGGAUGACGUCAAAUCAUCAUGCCCCUUAUGACCUGGGCUACACACGUGCUACAAUGGAUGGUACAACGAGUUGCGAGACCGCGAGGUCAAGCUAAUCUCUUAAAGCCAUUCUCAGUUCGGACUGUAGGCUGCAACUCGCCUACACGAAGUCGGAAUCGCUAGUAAUCGCGGAUCAGCACGCCGCGGUGAAUACGUUCCCGGGCCUUGUACACACCGCCCGUCACACCAUGAGAGUUUGUAACACCCGAAGCCGGUGGCGUAACC